UCUCGGCUUAUCACCGGCAGUCCCCCUAGAGUGCCCAACCAAAUGAUGGCAACUAGGGGCGAGGGUUGCGCUCGUUGCGGGACUUAACCCAACAUCACACGACACGAGCUGACGACAGCCAUGCACCACCUGUGCGAGGCCCCGUAGGACACCACAUCUCUGUGGCUUUUCCCCGCAUGUCAAACCCAGGUAAGGUUCUUCGCGUUACGUCGAAUUAAACCACAUGCUCCACUGCUUGUGCGGGCCCCCGUCAAUUCCUUUGAGUUUUAGCCUUGCGGCCGUACUCCCCAGGCGGGGCACUUAAUGCGUUAGCGGCGGCACGGGAGGAGUCGACACCUCCCACACCUAGUGCCCAUCGUUUACGGCGUGGACUAC
This 375-nucleotide unclassified non-coding RNA is filed under the name uncultured Actinomycetes bacterium. RNAcentral describes it as "uncultured actinobacterium contains 16S-23S intergenic spacer region". Lineage: Bacteria; Bacillati; Actinomycetota; Actinomycetes. The record is from RNAcentral.